RNAcentral lists this ribosomal RNA (407 nucleotides) under uncultured bacterium. RNAcentral describes it as "partial 16S ribosomal RNA". It matches the Rfam family "Bacterial small subunit ribosomal RNA", at positions 30 to 526 of the family's 1533-position model. The record is from RNAcentral.
AUUGAACGCUGGCGGCAGGCCUAACACAUGCAAGUCGAGCGGAGCGGCGGACGGGUGAGUAAUGCCUAGGAAUCAGCCUGGUUGUGGGGGAUAACGUCCGGAAACGGGCGCUAAUACUGCAUCCUAUCAGAUGAGCCUAGGUCGGAUUAGCUGGUUGGUGGGGUAACGGCCUACCAAGGCGACGAUCCGUAACUUGUCUGCGAGGAUGAUCAGUCACACUGGAACUGAGAGACGGUCCAGACUCCUACGGGAGGCAGCAGUGAGGAAUGUUGGACAAUGGGCGAAAGCCUGAUGCAGCCAUGCCGCGGGUGUGAAGAGGGUCUUCGGAUUGUAGAGCACUUUAAGUUGGGAGGCGGUACCGAAAGAAUAAGCACCGGCUAACUUCGUGCCAGCAGCCGCGGUAAGUC